This 111-nucleotide ribosomal RNA is filed under the name Pteropus alecto (black flying fox). Lineage: Eukaryota; Metazoa; Chordata; Mammalia; Chiroptera; Pteropodidae. The record is from RNAcentral.
GUCUACGGUCAUGCUACCCUGAACAAGCCCAAUCCCAUCUGAUCUCAGAAGCUAAGCAGGGUUGGGCCUGGGAGUACUUGGACCGCCUAGGAAGACCAGGUGCUGUAAGCA